GACGAACGCUGGCGGCGUGCUUAAUACAUGCAAGUCGAACGGACCGAUUCCGGUAGUUUACUCUUGGGAAAGGUUAGUGGCGGACGGGUGAGUAACGCGUGGGCAAUCUGCCCCUAAGUCCGGGAUAACAGAGCGAAAGUUCUGCUAAGACCGGAUACUCUUUACUAGCCGCAUGGUGGGUAAAGGAAAGCGAACGCGUAGGGAGGAGCGCGCGUCCCAUUAGCUAGUUGGUGAGGUAACGCCCACCCAGGGCAACGAUAGGUACCCGGCCUGAGAGAGUGGGCGCACACUCCGGGGCUGAGACGCGGUGGAGACUCUUACGCGAGGCAGCAGAAGGUGAUUCUGGGCAACGGGCGAAAGGCUGAACGAGCAACGGUGCGAGAGGGAUGAAGGUGGGCGGGUAGUAAACCUUGUUCAUCGAGGACGGUAAUGACGGUACCCGAGGAAGAAGCCCCGGCUAACUACGUG
RNAcentral lists this ribosomal RNA (468 nucleotides) under uncultured bacterium. RNAcentral's name for it is "partial 16S ribosomal RNA". It matches the Rfam family "Bacterial small subunit ribosomal RNA", at positions 28 to 507 of the family's 1533-position model. The record is from RNAcentral.